RNAcentral lists this ribosomal RNA (368 nucleotides) under uncultured bacterium. Its description in RNAcentral is "bacterial SSU rRNA". It matches the Rfam family "Bacterial small subunit ribosomal RNA", at positions 143 to 507 of the family's 1533-position model. The record is from RNAcentral.
AUAAACACUGGAAACGGUGUCUAAUACCGGAUGUGAACUUUUACCGCAUGGUGAAAAGUUUAAAGUUUGAGUAACGCUAAAAGAUGAGCCUGCGUCGCAUUAGCUAGUUGGUAAGGUAAUGGCUUACCAAGGCUACGAUGCGUAGCGGAUUUGAGAGAGUGAUCCGCCACACUGGGACUGAGAUACGGCCCAGACUCCUACGGGAGGCAGCAGUAAGGAAUAUUGCGCAAUGGACGAAAGUCUGACGCAGCAAUACCGCGUGAAUGAAGAAGGCCUAUGGGUUGUAAAAUUCUGUCAGAAGGGAAGAACAAGUCGGUUUAGAGCUGACUUUGACGGUACCUUCAGAGGAAGCUCCGGCUAACUCCGUG